RNAcentral lists this ribosomal RNA (492 nucleotides) under uncultured bacterium. Its description in RNAcentral is "partial 16S ribosomal RNA". It matches the Rfam family "Bacterial small subunit ribosomal RNA", at positions 29 to 507 of the family's 1533-position model. The record is from RNAcentral.
AGUGAACGCUGGCGGUAGGCCUAACACAUGCAAGUCGAACGGCAGCACAGUAAGAGCUUGCUCUUACGGGUGGCGAGUGGCGGACGGGUGAGGAAUACAUCGGAAUCUACUUUUUCGUGGGGGAUAACGUAGGGAAACUUACGCUAAUACCGCAUACGACCUACGGGUGAAAGCAGGGGAUCUUCGGACCUUGCGCGUUUGAAUGAGCCGAUGUCGGAUUAGCUAGUUGGCGGGGUAAAGGCCCACCAAGGCGACGAUCCGUAGCUGGUCUGAGAGGAUGAUCGACCACACUGGAACUGAGACACGGUCCAGACUCCUACGGGAGGCAGCAGUGGGGAAUAUUGGACAAUGGGCGCAAGCCUGAUCCAGCCAUACCGCGUGGGUGAAGAAGGCCUUCGGGUUGUAAAGCCCUUUUGUUGGGAAAGAAAAGCAGCAGGUUAAUACCCCGCUGUUCUGACGGUACCCAAAGAAUAAGCACCGGCUAACUUCGUG